RNAcentral lists this ribosomal RNA (999 nucleotides) under Klebsiella pneumoniae. RNAcentral describes it as "partial 23S ribosomal RNA". It matches the Rfam family "Bacterial large subunit ribosomal RNA", at positions 1863 to 2925 of the family's 2925-position model. Lineage: Bacteria; Pseudomonadati; Pseudomonadota; Gammaproteobacteria; Enterobacterales; Enterobacteriaceae. The record is from RNAcentral.
CCGGUGCCGGAAGGUUAAUUGAUGGGGUUAUCCGUAAGGAGAAGCUCUUGAUCGAAGCCACGGUAAACGGCGGCCGUAACUAUAACGGUCCUAAGGUAGCGAAAUUCCUUGUCGGGUAAGUUCAGACCUGCACGAAUGGCGUAAUGAUGGCCAGGUUGUCUCCACCCGAGACUCAGUGAAAUUGAACUCGCUGUGAAGAUGCAGUGUACCCGCGGCAAGCCGGAAAGAGUAGGAUAGGUGGGAGGCUUUGAAGCGUGGACGCCAGUCUGCGUGGAGCCAACCUUGAAAUACCACCCUUUAAUGUUUGAUGUUCUAACGUUGGCCCCUUACCGGGGUUGCGGACAGUGUCUGGUGGGUAGUUUGACUGGGGCGGUCUCCUCCCAAAGCGUAACGGAGGAGCACGAAGGUUAGCUAAUCCUGGUCGGACAUCAGGAGGUUAGUGCAAUGGCAUAAGCUAGCUUGACUGCGAGCGUGACGGCGCGAGCAGGUGCGAAAGCAGGUCAUAGUGAUCCGGUGGUUCUGAAUGGAAGGGCCAUCGCUCAACGGAUAAAAGGUACUCCGGGGAUAACAGGCUGAUACCGCCCAAGAGUUCAUAUCGACGGCGGUGUUUGGCACCUCGAUGUCGGCUCAUCACAUCCUGGGGCUGAAGUAGGUCCCAAGGGUAUGGCUGUUCGCCAUUUAAAGUGGUACGCGAGCUGGGUUUAGAACGUCGUGAGACAGUUCGGUCCCUAUCUGCCGUGGGCGCUGGAGAAUUGAGGGGGGCUGCUCCUAGUACGAGAGGACCGGAGUGGACGCAUCACUGGUGUUCGGGUUGUCAUGCCAAUGGCACUGCCCGGUAGCUAAAUGCGGAAGAGAUAAGUGCUGAAAGCAUCUAAGCACGAAACUUGCCCCGAGAUGAGUUCUCCCUGAGACUUUAAGUCUCCUGAAGGAAUAAGCGCAGCGAUGCGUUGAGCUAACCGGUACUAAUGAACCGUGAGGCUUAACCUUACAACGCCGAAG